Molecule: long non-coding RNA, 1053 nt
Filed under: Gallus gallus (chicken)
Lineage: Eukaryota; Metazoa; Chordata; Aves; Galliformes; Phasianidae
Description: lncRNA (ENSGALG00010022369.1)
Source: RNAcentral
GUCCAAACCGUGGGAAGACUUUCCAUUGAUUUCAGAGGGGAUUAAAUCAGGAUAACCUGACAUGGUGGAGGAAAUGAAAAAUUAGUUAAGUGUGAAUGGAAACGUUGGAGAAAUGUGGACGUAUUCCCCAGAACAGGGUGCCUUGGAAAUGCAUAGCAGUUGGUCAGGAGGAUGAGAGCACCAGCCUUCAUCCAAGGGGUAAUGAUGUUAUGGGGUGGGUGAGUGCUGGAAAACCAGUGCUUGAGAUGCAGAGGGCUGUCUGCCACAGAUAGAUUAGCAAAUAGAUCAAACAGCAUUGCCAGCUGUGUGCUCCUCUGCCUCAAACGUUUCACUUAUUCGGCAGUCUUUGUGAAGUUUGCAAGAUGUAUCUGCCCUGGCUCCCACUUUAGAGAGUGGGAACAAGAUUUUUUUUUUUUUUUUUUUUUCUUGAGUUCUGAGGCUUUGCUUUCCUGAUCUGUCUUUGCUUAGCCUGAAAACAACUCAGCAGGUCUUCUGUGGGAAUUAAGCAAACAGACUACAAGGCUGGGAGCGUGUUUUGGAGACGUGAGCUGAGCAGCUGAAGUAGGGAGUGAAGGGAUGCGCAUCAGCAAAGCAACAAAUUACAAACUUCUUGCUACAGACCCACUGCCUGGAAGUCCAUUAGUUGGGUGGUCCUGAGGGGUUGCAUUUUGCUAACAUCAGGGACAGCAGGUUUUUUGGUUGGAGUGCUGUUAUGAGGGAAUUCCUGUGGGAGAACAUUAGCUUGAGUGUAAUCUCAGGACACGGAAAAUCUGCAGAUAAUUCCUUUUGUCGUCUGUUUGGACUUAAAAGUUUUUGUCCAUUCUUGGUGUAAUUAACUGAGGGUUAUUCUCACCUGAUUCGGAAUGCAGAAUCAGGGACUCAGCAGCAGCAAGUAAUUUUUCUUCUGGUUGGUUUUUAGCCUGGCUGGUGGGAGCUGGGAAAUUUUAGCAUAUGUAAUUUGAAUUAUUUCAUGAAACAUUUAACAAGGGCCUAUUUCAUUCUUCACUAAGGCAAGUUGAUAUAAGAAGGAUGAUGUUAUGGUUAAUGUAAAUC